This 501-nucleotide ribosomal RNA is filed under the name uncultured bacterium. RNAcentral's name for it is "partial 16S ribosomal RNA". It matches the Rfam family "Bacterial small subunit ribosomal RNA", at positions 30 to 523 of the family's 1533-position model. The record is from RNAcentral.
AUUGAACGCUGGCGGCAUACCUUACACAUGCAAGUCGAACGGCAGCACGGGUGCUUGCACCUGGUGGCGAGUGGCGAACGGGUGAGUAAUAUAUCGGAACGUACCUUAUUGUGGGGGAUAACGCAGCGAAAGCUGUGCUAAUACCGCAUAAUCCCUAAGGGGGAAAGCGGGGGACCGUAAGGCCUCGCGCAAUUAGAGCGGCCGAUACCUGAUUAGCUAGUUGGUGAGGUAAAGGCUCACCAAGGCAACGAUCAGUAGCUGGUCUGAGAGGACGAUCAGCCACACUGGGACUGAGACACGGCCCAGACUCCUACGGGAGGCAGCAGUGGGGAAUUUUGGACAAUGGGGGCAACCCUGAUCCAGCAAUGCCGCGUGAGUGAAGAAGGCCUUCGGGUUGUAAAGCUCUUUUGUCAGGGAGGAAACAGCAGCUCUAACACAGUAUGCGAAUGACGGUACCUGAAGAAUAAGCACCGGCUAACUACGUGCCAGCCGCCGCCGUAA